RNAcentral lists this ribosomal RNA (240 nucleotides) under Bacillus cereus. RNAcentral's name for it is "partial 16S ribosomal RNA". It matches the Rfam family "Bacterial small subunit ribosomal RNA", at positions 11 to 239 of the family's 1533-position model. Lineage: Bacteria; Bacillati; Bacillota; Bacilli; Caryophanales; Bacillaceae. The record is from RNAcentral.
GUUUGAUCCUGGCUCAGGAUGAACGCUGGCGGCGUGCCUAAUACAUGCAAGUCGAGCGAAUGGAUUAAGAGCUUGCUCUUAUGAAGUUAGCGGCGGACGGGUGAGUAACACGUGGGUAACCUGCCCAUAAGACUGGGAUAACUCCGGGAAACCGGGGCUAAUACCGGAUAACAUUUUGAACUGCAUGGUUCGAAAUUGAAAGGCGGCUUCGGCUGUCACUUAUGGAUGGACCCGCGUCGC